GUUUUCCAGCAGAUAGCAUCAGUGGUCGCAGGCAGAAUUUGCUGUAUGUAACAGAAGGUUUUCACUCAGGCUUAAAAGAGUAAUUUAAUUGCAUUCUCAUGAAAGUUAAAUGCUGUUUGCUCAGAUUAAAGGAGGAAGAAACACUCUUCACAUUUCAGCCCCCACACUUCUGAGUGCCUGUUUAUCCCGGAGAGAAGGCGUCAGCCACCAGUUUGUACCGGGAUAAAUAACAAAUCCUCUAAUUGAGAGCCAACGGAUCCUAAUUGACUUUAUGAUCAUCCUCCAGCUGGGCUCAGCCCUUCUCUCCAGUCAUGGCAUGGAGCAUCCUUUGUUUAAGGCACCCUGAGGUGUGUGAAACCUCUGAGUGCUGCUCUUGUACAGUUUGAAAUGCAACAACUGCAUGCAGAUCUGCUGCUUCCCGUUUCAAAGGCCUAACCAAGAGCGUUCUGAGGCAAUCCAAAAGCUCUUUGUGGCCUUGUUGGUGCACAAAAGAGACUUUCAAAUUUCCCCAUUUGUCUGCCUGGAUCCUUUCUCCAGCCUUGAUGGCCACAACUGAAUCAUUUCAGGUCACUAUUAUCUUCUGGUCUCAGCAGAAGAGCAGUGGUGUAAUUAACAUACAAAUAUCAAUAUGUUUAGAAAGAAGAAAUAUUGUAGGUGGAUUACACACUGCCUGUACACAGAUUUCCAUUGUAACAGUGUUUAAAAUGAUUAAUUUUCAUUUAUUUCCUUGCUACAGCAUGAUCAUAGUGUGUCUGCUGUGAAUUUUUUCAGUGCAAAAUUCAGAAUUGUGUUUCAUAUUUAUAAUUGGUCAAGUAACCCAGAUGCCAAUUGCUGUUUGCUUUCUGUUUAUUGCACUUACGGAUGAAUUAUGUAAAUAUUCCCAGAGUGGCCACACUAGGUUUCAGAAUGAACACCUUCAGAGAAUCAUGGAAUAAAAUCUGGAAUGAUUUGGGUUGGAAGGGACCU
RNAcentral lists this long non-coding RNA (966 nucleotides) under Cyanistes caeruleus (blue tit). RNAcentral describes it as "lncRNA (ENSCCEG00000007163.1)". Lineage: Eukaryota; Metazoa; Chordata; Aves; Passeriformes; Paridae. The record is from RNAcentral.